RNAcentral lists this transfer RNA (82 nucleotides) under Parachlamydia sp. RNAcentral's name for it is "tRNA-Tyr". It matches the Rfam family "tRNA". Rfam says of the family: Transfer RNA (tRNA) molecules are approximately 80 nucleotides in length. Their secondary structure includes four short double-helical elements and three loops (D, anti-codon, and T loops). The record is from RNAcentral. Lineage: Bacteria; Pseudomonadati; Chlamydiota; Chlamydiia; Parachlamydiales; Parachlamydiaceae.
GGGGGUGUCGCAUAGCGGCAAUUGCAAGGGACUGUAACUCCCUCUCCUUCGGGAUUCGCUGGUUCGAGUCCAGCCGCCCCCA